Molecule: ribosomal RNA, 253 nt
Filed under: uncultured bacterium
Lineage: Bacteria
Description: partial 16S ribosomal RNA
Rfam family: Bacterial small subunit ribosomal RNA
Source: RNAcentral
UACGUAGGGGGCAAGCGUUGUCCGGAUUUACUGGGCGUAAAGAGCGUGUAGGCGGCCACGCAGGUCCGUUGUGAAAACUGGAGGCUCAACCUCCAGCUGUCGACGGAAACCGUGUGGCUAGAGUCCGGAAGAGGAGAGUGGAAUUCCUGGUGUAGCGGUGAAAUGCGCAGAUAUCAGGAAGAACACCAAUGGCGAAGGCAGCUCGCUGGGACGGUACUGACGCUGAGACGCGAAAGCGUGGGGAGCGAACAGG